RNAcentral lists this long non-coding RNA (246 nucleotides) under Trifolium pratense (red clover). RNAcentral describes it as "long non-coding RNA (TPRA_LNC012735)". The record is from RNAcentral. Lineage: Eukaryota; Viridiplantae; Streptophyta; Magnoliopsida; Fabales; Fabaceae.
CUGAGAACACGACGAAUGAAGAACACGCUUCCAGAACACGAAGAAUGAAGAACACGGUUUGGGGUUUCAAAGCGAAGAAGAAGACGAUUUAGGGAUUUGGGUUUCAAAGAGAAGAAUGAAGAAUUUUAUGUGUUUGCUGUGAAGAAGAAUGAAAACGAUUUAGGGAUUUGGGAUUUAGGGAUUUCAAAGAGAAUUAGGGAUUUGAGAUUUAAUAAUCAUAGCAACUAACGAUUUAGGGAUUUAGGG